Molecule: ribosomal RNA, 519 nt
Filed under: uncultured bacterium
Lineage: Bacteria
Description: bacterial SSU rRNA
Rfam family: Bacterial small subunit ribosomal RNA
Source: RNAcentral
AGAAUUUGAUCUUGGUCAGGAUGAACGCUAGCUACAGGCUUAACACAUGCAAGUCGAGGGGCAGCAUUGGAGUAGCAAUACUCAGAUGGCGACCGGCGCACGGGUGAGUAACACGUAUCCAACCUGCCGCUUACUCGGGGAUAGCCUUUCGAAAGAAAGAUUAAUACCCGAUGGUAUAAAGAGUUCGCAUGUUCUCUUUAUUAAAGAAUUUCGGUAAGCGAUGGGGAUGCGUUCCAUUAGAUUGUUGGCGGGGUAACGGCCCACCAAGUCUACGAUGGAUAGGGGGUUCUGAGAGGAAGGUCCCCCACAUUGGAACUGAGACACGGUCCAAACUCCUACGGGAGGCAGCAGUGAGGAAUAUUGGUCAAUGGACGAGAGUCUGAACCAGCCAAAAGUAGCGUGAAGGAUGACUGCCCUAUGGGUUGUAAACUUCUUUUAUAAGGGAAUAAAGUGAGGGACGUGUCCCUUUUUGUAUGUACCUUAUGAAUAAGGAUCGGCUAACUCCGUGCCAGCAGCGGC